AUAAUUUGUAAUAUUAUUUAAUGAGUAGUAAGAGUUAGGGGCUUGAAACUUAAAGAUUUUGGCGGUAUUUUAGUCUAUUCAGAGGAAUUUGUUCUUUAAUCGAUAUUCCCCGUUGGACCUUACUUUAAUUUGUUUAUCAGUUUAUAUAUCGUCGUUAUAAGAAUAUUUUAUAAGAAAUCAAUGUUCUAGAUUUAUUAUUUUAAUUUAUAUCAGAUAAAGGUGUAGUUUAUAUUAAAGAUUGAAAUGAAUUACAAUAAAAUUAUUUAUUAUGAAUGUAAGUAUUCAAUUAUUUAUUGAAGGUGGAUUUGAUAGUAAGCUUAUAAAGAUUAAUAAACUGAUAGUAGCUCUAAGAUGUGUAC
RNAcentral lists this ribosomal RNA (359 nucleotides) under Stylogaster decorata. Its description in RNAcentral is "partial 12S ribosomal RNA". Lineage: Eukaryota; Metazoa; Arthropoda; Insecta; Diptera; Conopidae. The record is from RNAcentral.